This 356-nucleotide unclassified non-coding RNA is filed under the name fungal sp. RNAcentral's name for it is "partial internal transcribed spacer region". The record is from RNAcentral. Lineage: Eukaryota; Fungi.
AAAGUCCUCCGUGAAUCUUCAUUCUGCUCUUGUAACCCGCGUAGUUUGCAAUCUCUGAUAAAUCAUAGCCCGGAAAGUUGUAGUGAUUCAGAGACCUCUGAACGUGCGAACAUUGGAACAGUUACAAUCGAGCGGUAGUUCUAUAGGCAAUGUUUCUCCAAGCAGUCAGUGUCGGAAAGUGUCAUUGAUUGUGCAAGGAUAGCGCUUCUACGAUUCCUGUAGACCGUACACUCGGGCAGGAGCUUUGCCAAAGGGUCCCCAUGCCCCCUAAUAACCCCACAGUUUAAUGUGAAGCUCAAUGUAAUACAUUGGGUAAAAAAACCGAACAACUGUUAACAAUGGAUAUCUUGGUUCUC